Molecule: ribosomal RNA, 434 nt
Filed under: uncultured bacterium
Lineage: Bacteria
Description: bacterial SSU rRNA
Rfam family: Bacterial small subunit ribosomal RNA
Source: RNAcentral
UUGAUCCUGGCUCAGGAUUAACGCUGGCGGCGUGCCUAAUACAUGCAAGUCGAACGGAAGUACCUUCGGGUACUUUAGUGGCGAACGGGUGAGUAAUACAUAGGUAACCUACCCUUAAGACGAGGAUAGCCAUUGGAAACGAUGGAUAAAACUGGAUAGGAUAUAGAGGAAGAAUCUUUUAUAUUUAAAAGAGAGAUCUGCUUAAGGAGGGGCCUGUGGCGCAUUAGCUAGUUGGUGGGGUAAGGGCCUACCAAGGCGAUGAUGCGUAGCCGGACUGAGAGGUUGAACGGCCACAAUGGAACUGAGAACGGUCCAUACUCCUACGGGAGGCAGCAGUAGGGAAUUUUCGGCAAUGGGGGGAACCCUGACCGAGCAACGCCGCGUGAACGAAGAAGUUAUUCGUAAUGUAAAGUUCUUUUAUCAGGGAAGAAAGA